CGGAGUGGACGCAUCACUGGUGUUCGGGUUGUCAUGCCAAUGGCACUGCCCGGUAGCUAAAUGCGGAAGAGAUAAGUGCUGAAAGCAUCUAAGCACGAAACUUGCCCCGAGAUGAGUUCUCCCUGACCCUUUAAGGGUCCUGAAGGAACGUUGAAGACGACGACGUUGAUAGGCCGGGUGUGUAAGCGCAGCGAUGCGUUGAGCUAACCGGUACUAAUGAACCGUGAGGCUU
This 232-nucleotide ribosomal RNA is filed under the name Escherichia coli. Its description in RNAcentral is "partial 23S ribosomal RNA". It matches the Rfam family "Bacterial large subunit ribosomal RNA", at positions 2693 to 2925 of the family's 2925-position model. The record is from RNAcentral. Lineage: Bacteria; Pseudomonadati; Pseudomonadota; Gammaproteobacteria; Enterobacterales; Enterobacteriaceae.